This 460-nucleotide ribosomal RNA is filed under the name uncultured bacterium. RNAcentral's name for it is "SSU rRNA". It matches the Rfam family "Bacterial small subunit ribosomal RNA", at positions 26 to 518 of the family's 1533-position model. The record is from RNAcentral.
AGAAUCAACGCUGGCGGCGUGCCUAACACAUGCAAGUCGAACGAGAAAGUGGAACAAUCCAUGAGUAAAGUGGCGCACGGGUGAGUAACACGUGACUAACCUACCUUUUAGUGGGGGAUAACCUAGGGAAACCUGGGCUAAUACCGCAUAAUACUUACGAGUCAAAGCAGCAAUGCGCUGAAAGAGGGGGUCGCGGUCGAUUAGUUAGUUGGCAGGGUAAUGGCCUACCAAGACUGUGAUCGAUAUCCGGCCUGAGAGGGCGCACGGACACACUGGAACUGAAACACGGUCCAGACUCCUACGGGAGGCAGCAGUGGGGAAUUUUGCGCAAUGGGGGAAACCCUGACGCAGCAACGCCGCGUGGAGGAUGAAGUCCCUUGGGACGUAAACUCCUUUCGAUCGGGACGAUAAUGACGGUACCGGAAGAAGAAGCCCCGGCUAACUUCGUGCCAGCAGCCGC